RNAcentral lists this ribosomal RNA (451 nucleotides) under Veillonella dispar. RNAcentral describes it as "bacterial SSU rRNA". It matches the Rfam family "Bacterial small subunit ribosomal RNA", at positions 28 to 457 of the family's 1533-position model. Lineage: Bacteria; Bacillati; Bacillota; Negativicutes; Veillonellales; Veillonellaceae. The record is from RNAcentral.
GACGAACGCGGCGGCGUGCUUAACACAUGCAAGUCGAACGAAGAGCGAUGGAAGCUUGCUUCUAUCAAUCUUAGUGGCGAACGGGUGAGUAACGCGUAAUCAACCUGCCCUUCAGAGGGGGACAACAGUUGGAAACGACUGCUAAUACCGCAUACGAUCUAAUCUCGGCAUCGAGGAAAGAUGAAAGGAGGCCUCUAUGUAUAAGCUAUCACUGAAGGAGGGGAUUGCGUCUGAUUAGCUAGUUGGAGGGGUAACGGCCCACCAAGGCGAUGAUCAGUAGCCGGUCUGAGAGGAUGAACGGCCACAUUGGGACUGAGACACGGCCCAGACUCCUACGGGAGGCAGCAGUGGGGAAUCUUCCGCCAUGGACGAAAGUCUGACGGAGCAACGCCGCGUGAGUGAUGACGGCCUUCGGGUUGUAAAGCUCUGUUAAUCGGGAUGAAAGGCCUUC